GUGCGUAGUGGAUGAUGUUUAGACUUCGAGGUACAGUUUGGAUUGGAGAAGAAAGUUGGCGAGGUGAUCUCGGAUGAGGAGCUGCCAGCCUUUGUUGAUUUGUUGGUUUAGACCAAGAAUAUUGACUGUGUUCCAGGCUGUGAGGACAUGGUCUACAUUUUCAAUUUCAGGGCAGCCAUGGCGACAGUGGGGCUGUGUAUCCAUAUCAAAUUUGCUUCUAUGGGCAUUCAAUCUGUUGUGCCCACUUCUGAGUCGGUGGAGUGUUGUAUUGAUCAUUAUGUUUGGAUGAUGCCAUUCUGUGGUUCCAAGCCUGGUUUUUGAGGGCUAUGAUUUCGUGUGUAGAUAGAGGAUUGUUGAUGGAGUUUUCAAGUGGGAUGUUUGCUGCUUCAUUGGCCAGUUUGUCAGCCUUUUCGUUGCCAGAGAUGCCGACAUGACUAGGGAUCCAGGGCUGGCUCCACCAUAUGCGAUGAUUCCAUAGUCAAUCUUGCUUCGGAUUAUGGUUUUGAAGAGGAUUGCUAGGUUGGAGAUUACUGCGUCAAUGUGGGCUGACCAGUUUAGUUUUCUAUCAAAUGUGAUGCCUAAGAAUUUGGCGCUCUCAGCUGACGGAAUUCUCCUGCCGUGAAUGAAGAGAAGAGGAGGCUGGGGGAUGCUAUGAGAUCUAGAGAGCACCAGUAUAGUGGAUUUUUCUGGGAGGAAAUCUAAACCCCACUUCUUACCCCAUCUGUACAACUUAUCCAGGUUGCUGAUGGUGUUGUCUUUUAGGGAUCUUAAUUCCUCUUGGAGAAGCUGGAUUUCCGCUUUCAUUUUUUCAAUUUGGUUCGUGUCCGGCGAGCUUGUAUGCACAGGCGACAAAACUGUUGGGCGACGGACUACUGAGCUGUAGGAUCCGCUGAUGUGUGUGCGGGCCUCUUUAACUGUUACAUUUUUGUCUAUGGCGUACUUGAUUAGGCUGAUAAGUUCUUCAUAAAUUGGGCAGUUUUUAGAUUCGGAGGAGUGGGAUAAACUGCUGCAAUUAAUACACUUUUGGAUAC
Long non-coding RNA from Daphnia carinata, 1031 nucleotides. RefSeq lists it as uncharacterized. The record is from RefSeq and is a predicted model, not a curated record. NCBI's taxonomy places the organism in Eukaryota, Metazoa, Arthropoda, Branchiopoda, Diplostraca, Daphniidae. The transcript is spliced from 6 exons.